UGAGCCCACUUGGGAUUGGGUGCUUCGUGGCGUCAAAGCCUGCCAAGGCUGCAUUCUCUGACAGGUCUGUCACGAUGGCCGGCCAAACUCUGGCUGAGGCGAAGGCCGUACUCCUACCGCAGGCAUCUUUGGGGAGUAUUGCGCUGUGGGGGGAACCCUGACACGGCCGUGCCGCGUGAGUGAAUAAUGCCUUCGGGUUGUAUUGUUCUUUCUGUAUUGAGGAAUGAGUGUAUGUUAGUACCAUACGUUAUUGACGUUAAAUACAGAACAGGCACCGGCUAACUCCGUGCCGGCAGCCGCGGUAAUACGGAGGGUGCGGAGCGUUAAUCGGAAUAACUGGGCGUAAAGGGCACGCAGGCGGUUAUUUAAGUGAGGUGUGAAAGCCCCGGGCUUAACCUGGGAAUUGCAUUUCAGACUGGGUAACUAGAGUACUUUAGGGAGGGGUAGAAUUCCACGUGUAGCGGUGAAAUGCGUAGAGAUGUGGAGGAAUACCGAAGGCGAAGGCAGCCCCUUGGGAAUGUACUGACGCUCAUGUGCGAAAGCGUGGGGAGCAAACCAGGAUUUAGAUACCCUGGUAGUCCACGCUGUAAACGCUGUCGAUUUGGGCGACUGGGCAUAAAGCAUCUAGCGUGACACGAUAGCUAACGUGAUAAAUAGACCGCAUGGGGAGUAAGGCAGCACGGUUAAAACUUAAAUGAAUGGACGGGGGCCCGCACAAUCUGUUGGAGCAGAAGGUCUAAUGCGAAGCAACGCGAAGCAACACAUACAUCACUCGAGACAUCCAGAGAACGAUCCAGAGAGGAAUGGAAGCCCUUGGGAAAUUAGAGACAGGGGUGGCAAGGCAGUUGUAAGACACCGGUAAAUAAUGGAGGGUGAAAUCAAGAAAAGAGUGCAACCGGAGUCGUGCCAGACUAACGAUGAGAUCGGGAGACUCAACGAGCGAGAGCCAUAGGUAAAAUGGAGGAAGGUGGGGACGAUGUGACGUCAUCAUGGUCCUUACGAGUAGGGUUACACAGUUGUGAUAACGUGCGUUACCCAAAGCGUGGUGAAAUUGUGUAGGAGGAGGAAAUUUAAUAAAUCACGUAGAAGUCAGGACAGGAGUACGAUAUUGGAUUACAGCAACUUGCACUUGCUGGUAAUAAGUAGAUUAUAAUGUCUCAGCGUCUAGAUGUUAGUGGGCAUUGCACACACCGCCCGUCA
RNAcentral lists this ribosomal RNA (1200 nucleotides) under uncultured bacterium. RNAcentral describes it as "partial 16S ribosomal RNA". It matches the Rfam family "Bacterial small subunit ribosomal RNA", at positions 226 to 1399 of the family's 1533-position model. The record is from RNAcentral.